This 83-nucleotide transfer RNA is filed under the name Candidatus Woesebacteria bacterium. RNAcentral describes it as "tRNA-Leu". It matches the Rfam family "tRNA". From Rfam's summary of the family: Transfer RNA (tRNA) molecules are approximately 80 nucleotides in length. Lineage: Bacteria; Candidatus Woeseibacteriota. The record is from RNAcentral.
GCCAGAGUGCUGGAAUGGUAGACAGGUCAGUCUCAAAAACUGAUGUCCUUCGGGACGUGAGGGUUCGAGUCCCUCCUCUGGUA